UAUUAUACCCAUUAUAAAUAUUGACAUUAAUAUAAGUCUGAACUUAAUCUCCAGUCGGGGUGCCCUAGCACGGCCCUGUGUCUAGCUACGGCCCUGGAUAAGGUCGGCAGGUGUUAUUUUUUUCCUUUGUUGUUGUUUAAUUCCCACCAGAAAUCCGCUCUGUGAGGCUGAAAAUGCUGAAACCGCAAACGGGACGUAAAGAUCCGGGAGGACGGGACGCUUUGACCCGAAAUCCUGCGCCGGGUUGGUGUUGAGGUCGGGAUUUCUGUCUGUCACCCUGAGGCAGCAGCAUCCUCUCGCCGGAAUGAAACGGUGCCAGUCGGGAUAAUCCCUUUAUUUCCAGGUUCUUCCUGGUCCAACACACCUGAGCGAACCUUCGUCCUGCUGAUGACCUCAUCGUUUAACUCAGUCUGACUCCGGGUCUGGGAGGAACCAAUGGCUGCUGGCAUGCCGCUGUCAUUUUGUGGCGACAAGUUUCCCAGUGCAUACGGCAUCAACGUC
Molecule: non-coding RNA, 501 nt
Organism: Poecilia reticulata (guppy)
Lineage: Eukaryota; Metazoa; Chordata; Actinopteri; Cyprinodontiformes; Poeciliidae
Source: RefSeq, a predicted model, not a curated record